AUGUGAAGCGAACGCGGUGAACUGAAACAUCUAAGUAACCGCAGGAAAAGAAAUCAACCGAGAUUCCCAAAGUAGUGGCGAGCGAAAUGGGAUGAGCCUUGUACUCUUUAUUUGUAUUGUUAGCCGAACGCUCUGGAAAGUGCGGCCAUAGCAGGUGAUAGCCCUGUAGGCGAAAACAGUAUGAAAGAACUAGGUGUACGACAAGUAGGGCGGGACACGUGAAAUCCUGUCUGAAGAUGGGGGGACCAUCCUCCAAGGCUAAAUACUCGUGAUCGACCGAUAGUGAACCAGUACCGUGAGGGAAAGGCGAAAAGAACCCCGGGAGGGGAGUGAAAUAGAUCCUGAAACCGCAUGCAUACAAACAGUCGGAGCCUCGUAAGGGGUGACGGCGUACCUUUUGUAUAAUGGGUCAGCGACUUACGUUCAGUAGCAAGCUUAACCGUAUAGGGCAGGCGUAGCGAAAGCGAGUCCGAAUAGGGCGUUCAGUUGCUGGGCGUAGACCCGAAACCAGGUGAUCUAUCCAUGGCCAGGAUGAAGGUGCGGUAACACGUACUGGAGGUCCGAACCCACUAACGUUGAAAAGUUAGGGGAUGAGCUGUGGAUAGGGGUGAAAGGCUAAACAAACCUGGAAAUAGCUGGUUCUCUCCGAAAACUAUUUAGGUAGUGCCUCGUGUCUCACCUUCGGGGGUAGAGCACUGUCAUGGUUGGGGGGUCUAUUGCAGAUUACCCCGCCAUAGCAAACUCCGAAUACCGAAGAGUGCAAUCACGGGAGACAGACAUCGGGUGCUAACGUCCGGUGUCAAGAGGGAAACAACCCAGACCGCCAGCUAAGGUCCCCAAAUAUGGCUAAGUGGGAAACGAAGUGGGAAGGCUAAAACAGUCAGGAGGUUGGCUUAGAAGCAGCCACCCUUUAAAGAAAGCGUAAUAGCUCACUGAUCGAGUCGUCCUGCGCGGAAGAUGUAACGGGGCUAAGCCAUAUACCGAAGCUGCGGAUGCGUGCUUGCACGCAUGGUAGGAGAGCGUUCCGUAAGCCUGCGAAGGUGCCUUGUAAAGGGUGCUGGAGGUAUCGGAAGUGCGAAUGCUGACAUGAGUAGCGAUAAAGGGGGUGAAAGGCCCCCUCGCCGUAAGCCCAAGGUUUCCUACGCAACGUUCAUCGGCGUAGGGUGAGUCGGCCCCUAAGGCGAGGCAGAAAUGCGUAGCUGAUGGGAAGCAGGUCAAUAUUCCUGCACCAUUGUUAGAUGCGAUGGGGGGACGGAUCGCGGAAGGUUGUCCGGGUGUUGGACGUCCCGGUCGCUGCAUUGGAGAAGGCGCUUAGGCAAAUCCGGGCGCAGGAUUCAAGGGUGUGGCGCGAGCGACUUCGGUCGCGAAGCAAUUGGAAGUGGUUCCAAGAAAAGCCUCUAAGCUUCAGUCUAACGAUGACCGUACCGCAAACCGACACAGGUGGGCGAGAUGAGUAUUCUAAGGCGCUUGAGAGAACUCGGGAGAAGGAACUCGGCAAAUUGGUACCGUAACUUCGGGAUAAGGUACGCCCUUGUAGCUUGACCAGCCUGCGCUGGAAGGGUGAAGGGGUUGCAAUAAACUGGUGGCUGCGACUGUUUAAUAAAAACACAGCACUCUGCAAACACGAAAGUGGACGUAUAGGGUGUGACGCCUGCCCGGUGCCGGAAGAUUAAAUGAUGGGGUGCAAGCUCUUGAUUGAAGUCCCGGUAAACGGCGGCCGUAACUAUAACGGUCCUAAGGUAGCGAAAUUCCUUGUCGGGUAAGUUCCGACCUGCACGAAUGGCGUAACGAUGGCCACACUGUCUCCUCCCGAGACUCAGCGAAGUUGAAGUGUUUGUGAUGAUGCAAUCUACCCGCGGCUAGACGGAAAGACCCCAUGAACCUUUACUGUAGCUUUGCAUUGGACUUUGAACCGAUCUGUGUAGGAUAGGUGGGAGGCUAUGAAACCGGAACGCUAGUUUCGGUGGAGCCGUCCUUGAAAUACCACCCUGGUUUGUUUGAGGUUCUAACCUUGGUCCGUGAUCCGGAUCGGGGACAGUGCAUGGUAGGCAGUUUGACUGGGGCGGUCUCCUCCCAAAGGGUAACGGAGGAGUACGAAGGUACGCUAGGUACGGUCGGAAAUCGUGCUGAUAGUGCAAUGGCAUAAGCGUGCUUAACUGCGAGACCGACAAGUCGAGCAGGUGCGAAAGCAGGUCAUAGUGAUCCGGUGGUUCUGUAUGGAAGGGCCAUCGCUCAACGGAUAAAAGGUACUCUGGGGAUAACAGGCUGAUACCGCCCAAGAGUUCAUAUCGACGGCGGUGUUUGGCACCUCGAUGUCGGCUCAUCUCAUCCUGGGGCUGUAGCCGGUCCCAAGGGUAUGGCUGUUCGCCAUUUAAAGAGGUACGUGAGCUGGGUUUAAAACGUCGUGAGACAGUUUGGUCCCUAUCUGCCGUGGGCGUUGGAUAUUUGAAGGGGGCUGCUCCUAGUACGAGAGGACCGGAGUGGACGAACCUCUGGUGUACCGGUUGUGACGCCAGUCGCAUCGCCGGGUAGCUAUGUUCGGAAGAGAUAACCGCUGAAAGCAUCUAAGCGGGAAACUCGCCUUAAGAUGAGAUAUCCCUGGAGGCUUGACCUCCUUGAAGGGUCGUUCGAGACCAGGACGUUGAUAGGUCGGGUGUGUAAGCGCAGUAAUGCGUUCAGCUAACCGAUACUAAUUGCCCGUAAGGCUUGAUCCU
Molecule: ribosomal RNA, 2714 nt
Filed under: Burkholderia multivorans
Lineage: Bacteria; Pseudomonadati; Pseudomonadota; Betaproteobacteria; Burkholderiales; Burkholderiaceae
Description: partial 23S ribosomal RNA
Rfam family: Bacterial large subunit ribosomal RNA
Source: RNAcentral